Molecule: ribosomal RNA, 633 nt
Filed under: Streptomyces sp. H16(2011)
Lineage: Bacteria; Bacillati; Actinomycetota; Actinomycetes; Kitasatosporales; Streptomycetaceae
Description: bacterial SSU rRNA
Rfam family: Bacterial small subunit ribosomal RNA
Source: RNAcentral
GAGUAACACGUGGGCAAUCUGCCCUUCACUCUGGGACAAGCCCUGGAAACGGGGUCUAAUACCGGAUACCACUCCUCAAGGCAUCUUGGGGGGUUGAAAGCUCCGGCGGUGAAGGAUGAGCCCGCGGCCUAUCAGCUUGUUGGUGAGGUAAUGGCUCACCAAGGCGACGACGGGUAGCCGGCCUGAGAGGGCGACCGGCCACACUGGGACUGAGACACGGCCCAGACUCCUACGGGAGGCAGCAGUGGGGAAUAUUGCACAAUGGGCGAAAGCCUGAUGCAGCGACGCCGCGUGAGGGAUGACGGCCUUCGGGUUGUAAACCUCUUUCAGCAGGGAAGAAGCGAAAGUGACGGUACCUGCAGAAGAAGCGCCGGCUAACUACGUGCCAGCAGCCGCGGUAAUACGUAGGGCGCAAGCGUUGUCCGGAAUUAUUGGGCGUAAAGAGCUCGUAGGCGGCUUGUCACGUCGGGUGUGAAAGCCCGGGGCUUAACCCCGGGUCUGCAUUCGAUACGGGCUAGCUAGAGUGUGGUAGGGGAGAUCGGAAUUCCUGGUGUAGCGGUGAAAUGCGCAGAUAUCAGGAGGAACACCGGUGGCGAAGGCGGAUCUCUGGGCCAUUACUGAUGAGGGGAGCGA